GAUGAACGCUGGCGGCGUGCCUAACACAUGCAAGUCGAGCGAUUCUCUUCGGAGAAGAGCGGCGGACGGGUGAGUAACGCGUGGGUAACCUGCCUCAUACACAUGGAUAACAUACCGAAAGGUAUGCUAAUACAGGAUAAUAUAAGAGAUUCACAUGUAUUUCUUAUCAAAGCUCCGGCGGUAUGAGAUGGACCCGCGUCUGAUUAGCUAGUUGGUAAGGUAACGGCUUACCAAGGCGACGAUCAGUAGCCGACCUGAGAGGGUGAUCGGCCACAUUGGAACUGAGACACGGUCCAA
RNAcentral lists this ribosomal RNA (297 nucleotides) under uncultured bacterium. RNAcentral describes it as "partial 16S ribosomal RNA". It matches the Rfam family "Bacterial small subunit ribosomal RNA", at positions 28 to 334 of the family's 1533-position model. The record is from RNAcentral.